This 301-nucleotide ribosomal RNA is filed under the name uncultured bacterium. Its description in RNAcentral is "partial 16S ribosomal RNA". It matches the Rfam family "Bacterial small subunit ribosomal RNA", at positions 509 to 807 of the family's 1533-position model. The record is from RNAcentral.
CAGUAGCCGCGGUAAUACGGAGGGAGCUAGCGUUGUUCGGAAUCACUGGGCGUAAAGCGCACGUAGGCGGCUAUUCAAGUCAGGGGUGAAAGCCCGGGGCUCAACCCCGGAACUGCCUUUGAAACUAGAUAGCUUGAAUCUUGGAGAGGCGAGUGGAAUUCCGAGUGUAGAGGUGAAAUUCGUAGAUAUUCGGAAGAACACCAGUGGCGAAGGCGACUCGCUGGACAAGUAUUGACGCUGAGGUGCGAAAGCGUGGGGAACAAACAGGAUUAGAUACCCGGGUAGUCCCUGUCUCUUAUAC